CCUACGGGGGGCAGCAGUGGGGAAUAUUGCACAAUGGGGGAAACCCUGAUGCAGCAACGCCGCGUGAAGGAAGACGGUUUUCGGAUUGUAAACUUCUGUUCUUAGUGAAGAAGAAUGACGGUAGCUAAGGAGCAAGCCACGGCUAACUACGUGCCAGCAGCCGCGGUAAUACGUAGGUGGCAAGCGUUAUCCGGAUUUACUGGGUGUAAAGGGAGCGUAGACGGAAAGGCAAGUCAGAAGUGAAAACCCAAGGCUCAACCAUGGG
This 265-nucleotide ribosomal RNA is filed under the name uncultured bacterium. RNAcentral describes it as "partial 16S ribosomal RNA". It matches the Rfam family "Bacterial small subunit ribosomal RNA", at positions 338 to 619 of the family's 1533-position model. The record is from RNAcentral.